Molecule: long non-coding RNA, 853 nt
Filed under: Vigna radiata
Lineage: Eukaryota; Viridiplantae; Streptophyta; Magnoliopsida; Fabales; Fabaceae
Description: long non-coding RNA (VRAD_LNC005229)
Source: RNAcentral
UUCUCCCCAAGGUCAAAUACUAUUUGCUAUUUUUGGAUGGAAAAUUGGAGAACAAGAAGAUGUUGCAAAUCUACCAAGACAUGGAGAAGGGUAAAAAGGCCAAUUCUACAAAAGGAGGGGUGUGCCUAACAUAAAAGGGGGUGACAUUAGUGUUUACUCUUUCAUAGGCACCUAGCAUAUUUUACAUGUGUUUAAUAAAGCUUUCUAGAAGCCACACAUUUAGCACAUGGGUAGUUAAUUAGAAAUUCAGAUCUGAAACGUGUAAUAUUCAUGCUUAGCCUUGAGAUUGAUCUAUAAAAUCUCAUAGGCAAAGCUUGUAGCUCACUUUUGGAAAUAUUGAAAAGAAAUUCUGCUCAUGAAAGCACAAUUCUCUCAUCCGAAAGUCACUCUCCUUGCUUGUAACUCCAUUGCUACUUUCUUCCAAUAUGGAGGCCUUCUGAAGUAGUUAACCACUCACUCAAGCUAGCCUUCACCUCACCUUACCAUAUUCAUCAACAUUCCGCUGCAACCAACCUCACCAACUCAUCAAAACCGAGAGCCAAUCUCCUCUGACCAGAACCAGCACUGGAGUCCACACACGUCACUGUUCCAUUGGAUUUCAAGUUGUUCAGAGUGGUUUCUCUCCUCCAAUCUCACGAAUUGUUCAUCCUUCAUCCCUUGGAUGCAUCACCUUCAAUUUGUCAAAUGUAUACCUUUCCCCUCUCAGAUGCAAUCAUCAACAUGUGGUGCACAUAACAUAAGAUUGAAACAAAACAAUCAACUGGAUUGCCUUCCAGGUAGCGCUUGUUUAACGUCACGAGCCUGACCCAAACUUGUUUAGCACUCAUCAGUAAGUGCUUCUCCUUCCAACACC